This 161-nucleotide ribosomal RNA is filed under the name uncultured bacterium. RNAcentral describes it as "partial 16S ribosomal RNA". It matches the Rfam family "Bacterial small subunit ribosomal RNA", at positions 355 to 509 of the family's 1533-position model. The record is from RNAcentral.
UAGGGAAUUUUCGUUCAAUGGGCGCAAGCCUGAACGAGCGAUGCCGCGUGAGUGAAGAAGGCCUUGGUCGUAAAGCUCUGUUGCGGGGAAAAAAGGCAGCAUCAGGAAAUGGGUGCCUGACUGAUGGUGCCCCGCCAGAAAGUCACGGCUAACUACGUGCC